RNAcentral lists this ribosomal RNA (253 nucleotides) under uncultured bacterium. RNAcentral describes it as "partial 16S ribosomal RNA". It matches the Rfam family "Bacterial small subunit ribosomal RNA", at positions 524 to 776 of the family's 1533-position model. The record is from RNAcentral.
UACGAAGGGUGCAAGCGUUACUCGGAAUUACUGGGCGUAAAGCGUGCGUAGGCGGUUUGUUAAGUCCGCUGUGAAAGCCCUGGGCUCAACCUGGGAAUUGCAGUGGAUACUGGCAAGCUGGAGUACGGUAGAGGAAGGUGGAAUUCCCGGUGUAGCAGUGAAAUGCGUAGAGAUCGGGAGGAACACCAGUGGCGAAGGCGGCCUUCUGGACCAGUACUGACGCUCAUGCACGAAAGCGUGGGGAGCAAACAGG